GCAUAUCAAUAAGCGGAGGAAAAGAAACCAACAGGGAUUGCCCCAGUAACGGCGAGUGAAGCGGCAACAGCUCAAAUUUGAAAUCUGGCCUCGGCCCGAGUUGUAAUUUGUAGAGGAUGCUUUUGGUGAGGUGCCUUCUGAGUUCCCUGGAACGGGACGCCAGAGAGGGUGAGAGCCCCGUAUAGUCGGCCACCGAUCCUCUGUAAAGCUCCUUCGACGAGUCGAGUAGUUUGGGAAUGCUGCUCAAAAUGGGAGGUAUAUCUCUUCUAAAGCUAAAUAUAGGCCAGAGACCGAUAGCGCACAAGUAGAGUGAUCGAAAGAUGAAAAGCACUUUGAAAAGAGGGUUAAAUAGCACGUGAAAUUGUUGAAAGGGAAGCGCUUGUGACCAGACUUGCGCCGGGCUGAUCAUCCAGUGUUCUCACUGGUGCACUCGACCCGGCUCAGGCCAGCGUCGGUUCUCGUAGGGGGAUAAAAGCUUCGGGAACGUGGCACCUUCGGGUGUGUUAUAGCCCGCUGCUUAAUACCCCUGUGGGGACCGAGGUUCGCGCUCUGCAAGGACGCUGGCAUAAUGGUCAUCAGCGACCCGUCUUGAAACACGGACCAAGGAGUCGAGGUUUUGCGCGAGUGUUUGGGUGUAAAACCCGCACGCGUAAUGAAAGUGAACGUAGGUGAGAGCUUCGGCGCAUCAUCGACCGAUCCUGAUGUAUUCGGAUGGAUUUGAGUAAGAGCGUAAAGCCUCGGACCCGAAAGAUGGUGAACUAUGCCUGAAUAGGGUGAAGCCAGAGGAAACUCUGGUGGAGGCUCGCAGCGGUUCUGACGUGCAAAUCGAUCGUCAAAUUUGGGCAUGGGGGCGAAAGACUAAUCGAACCAUCUAGUAGCUGGUUACCGCC
This 890-nucleotide ribosomal RNA is filed under the name Coniochaeta sp. Its description in RNAcentral is "partial large subunit ribosomal RNA". It matches the Rfam family "Eukaryotic large subunit ribosomal RNA", at positions 38 to 962 of the family's 3401-position model. Lineage: Eukaryota; Fungi; Ascomycota; Sordariomycetes; Coniochaetales; Coniochaetaceae. The record is from RNAcentral.